CGGCACGGAGGGCACGGAAAACAAGCGGAGCAAAAGCCAACUGCAGAAAAAGGAACAAGAAGCGGUUUCCGCAGUAGGGGCUGAAUCCCGGCGAGGCGGGAACGGGAGCAGAUCUCUUGUGCUGCCCGCGCCGGCCCGAGAGCGGCUGCUUCGGUCGGGCCAGGGCUAUCGCCGCUGGGCCUGGGCUGUGAGCCCAGCUUUCAGCGUGAACCGCGCUAGGAAGUGCCGCUACCUAAACCUGAGGUGAAAUUUAGACCACGAGUUGGGUAUGAGGCCAGUAGUGUCGCCACUUAACGGGACUGCUGUUACGCAGCGAAAGACAAGCUGAAUUUAUUUAGCUGUCAGGCCAGAGAUUUCUUGCUGCUUCCUGCACAGCCGCUGAUUUCACUGACCCUCACAGCCGCUCUGUGACUCUGCCUUCCAAAAGCCACAGGGAAAUGUCUCUGGCUGGUAUCGUGCUGGGUGCAGUUGAAAUAACGUGAACAAAAACUUUGCAACUGGCAUAUUCUUCUGAGUCCACUGAUUCCAGAGCUAUCACAGGAGGAGAAAUGUUUUUGCUUCAUUGUUGUGGGUAUAUAAAAUAGGUGUGAAGGUUAUUGUAGCUGUAAUGAUAGCGAAAGUUUAAAUAAACUUUUACAUUAUUAUUAUGUAUGGAUUGAUGGCUAUAUUCCAUUGACACAAAGCAAAUAAUUUCUUAUGAAAGCCAUGCACAGUAUUGCUUUGAUUCACUCUAGGAAUAUCAAUUAACCCUGUCUUAAUUGGGGACAAUAAAAGCAAACGAUGAGGUUCUUACUCCUGUCAGAAUGAAUCGAUGCAAUCUGUAUGACAUAAAGUACAUUAUGAAGGUUUGCAUUCUAGUAUUCAUGUAAUCAUAUAAUAGUGAUAUAGUGGGUGUUUUUUGACUACAUGAGAUAUUUUUAGGUGUAUAUAGAAAAUACAUAGAAUGGAUGAGUAAUGCAAAAUAGAGAAGAAGAAAGUUUCUAAGAGGUGUGGUUUGUCACAAAACUUUUUGCUUGGCAUAAAAAAUUAAUUGAAGGAAUUCUGAUAUACACAGUAUAUUUUCCUUUCCCUCAGAAAGAGCAGAGUUACACCUUUUAAUGGAAUCUUAGCUGAUAUUUACAGGGAAUUGGAUUGUGUGCAGUCUAUGUUUUUGAUUCAGGAAUUUAUUAAGACAAAGACAGUAAAUAACAGUGUAACUCCUGUUUUGAUGAAAAAUUAGAAAUUAUGCAGGUGGAAAUGAAUAAGUAAUUGUGUAAUAGGAUGUCUGAAAAUGGUUUGUAAAUUGAAUAAAAUGGAGUAUAGUAUAAAUUAGAAUUUUUUAAAAUGGUUCUUUCCUUUCGCAUAUGCCAUGAUAUUAUCUUUAUAGCUUGCUGGAGAUCUUUUCCUACCAAACAGGUGAAUGUGUGAAUUUGAAUGGUUUAGCUGUCAUGUUUUGCUCAUUAAUAUGUUUACUUUGAUUUUAGCAAUCAAAAAGGUUACUUCUCAUCUCAUUUGUUUUUUAUUGUGCUGGUAUACAAAAUAUUAGUAACAAUUUUGAUGUGGUGAUUCAUAAGGCUUAGUCUGAUGAAGGAACAGGUGCUUAAUGACCCCUUCCUUUAUCAGAGAGAGCUGGCAGGAUGAAGCACAAGCUUUUUUAACUGGCUAUUGGACUUUGAUUAGAAGAAGGGUUUUCACCCUGGCUGUUUGUUCCACGGGUAGCUUUGACUUUUUUCAUUUUCACGGUUCCUUUUUAAUGCACAGUUAUAAAUAGCUUAAUGUUUUGCUUUUCAUUGCACUCUUUUCUCUUUUCCUGUCAUUUGCACUGUGGCUGUGCUAAUGGGAGGGUGGUUAGCUCAACCUCAGGCAGCCUUUUCUGCAUAAUUGGUUCAGUUAGGAAACAACACAUUUUCAAUUAAUUAGUGUGAUUGCCUACCUAACAGUAGGUAGGGGAAAUUUGGUACUCAUUUGGUUCUUUCUCUGCAGUGAAUAUUCAUAGCAGUAAUAAAAUCUUCCCUGAGCAAAAUAUUUCUAAAUAUACAUUCUAGAAAUACAUUCUAGACGAACAACACAUGUAUGUGGAAAAUCUCACAAGUAAGAGUACUAAAUG
This is a long non-coding RNA of Cyanistes caeruleus (blue tit), 2086 nucleotides long. RefSeq lists it as uncharacterized. The record is from RefSeq and is a predicted model, not a curated record. NCBI's taxonomy places the organism in Eukaryota, Metazoa, Chordata, Aves, Passeriformes, Paridae.